This 301-nucleotide ribosomal RNA is filed under the name uncultured bacterium. RNAcentral's name for it is "partial 16S ribosomal RNA". It matches the Rfam family "Bacterial small subunit ribosomal RNA", at positions 509 to 808 of the family's 1533-position model. The record is from RNAcentral.
CAGUAGCCGCGGUAAUACAGAGGGUGCGAGCGUUAAUCGGAAUUACUGGGCGUAAAGCGUGCGCAGGCGGUUAUAUAAGACAGAUGUGAAAUCCCCGGGCUCAACCUGGGAACUGCAUUUGUGACUGUAUAGCUAGAGUACGGCAGAGGGGGAUGGAAUUCCGCGUGUAGCAGUGAAAUGCGUAGAUAUGCGGAGGAACACCGAUGGCGAAGGCAAUCCCCUGGGCCUGUACUGACGCUCAUGCACGAAAGCGUGGGGAGCAAACAGGAUUAGAUACCCCCGUAGUCCCUGUCUCUUUACA